CAUUACCGAGUGCGGGUCCUUUGGGCCCAACCUCCCAUCCGUGUCUAUUGUACCCUGUUGCUUCGGCGGGCCCGCCGCUUGUCGGCCGCCGGGGGGGCGCCUCUGCCCCCCGGGCCCGUGCCCGCCGGAGACCCCAACACGAACACUGUCUGAAAGCGUGCAGUCUGAGUUGAUUGAAUGCAAUCAGUUAAAACUUUCAACAAUGGAUCUCUUGGUUCCGGCAUCGAUGAAGAACGCAGCGAAAUGCGAUAACUAAUGUGAAUUGCAGAAUUCAGUGAAUCAUCGAGUCUUUGAACGCACAUUGCGCCCCCUGGUAUUCCGGGGGGCAUGCCUGUCCGAGCGUCAUUGCUGCCCUCAAGCCCGGCUUGUGUGUUGGGUCGCCGUCCCCCUCUCCGGGGGGACGGGCCCGAAAGGCAGCGGCGGCACCGCGUCCGAUCCUCGAGCGUAUGGGGCUUUGUCACAUGCUCUGUAGGAUUGGCCGGCGCCUGCCGACGUUUUCCAACCAUUCUUUCCAGGUUGACCUCGGAUCAGGUA
Molecule: ribosomal RNA, 534 nt
Filed under: Aspergillus niger
Lineage: Eukaryota; Fungi; Ascomycota; Eurotiomycetes; Eurotiales; Aspergillaceae
Description: eukaryotic LSU rRNA
Rfam family: 5.8S ribosomal RNA (bases 192-345)
Source: RNAcentral